ACGCUUUCUACAGGCUUAACACAUGCAAGUCGAGGGGCAUCAGGAAGAAAGCUUGCUUUCUUUGCUGGCGACCGGCGCACGGGUGAGUAACACGUAUCCAACCUGCCCUUUACUCGGGGAUAGCCUUUCGAAAGAAAGAUUAAUACCCGAUAGCAUAAUGAUUCCGCAUGGUUUCAUUAUUAAAGGAUUCCGGUAAAGGAUGGGGAUGCGUUCCAUUAGGUUGUUGGUGAGGUAACGGCCCACCAAGCCUUCGAUGGAUAGGGGUUCUGAGAGGAAGGUCCCCCACAUUGGAACUGAGACACGGUCCAAACUCCUACGGGAGGCAGCAGUGAGGAAUAUUGGUCAAUGGGCGCUAGCCUGAACCAGCCAAGUAGCGUGAAGGAUGAAGGCUCUAUGGGUCGUAAACUUCUUUUAUAUAAGAAUAAAGUGCAGUAUGUAUACUGUUUUGUAUGUAUUAUAUGAAUAAGGAUCGGCUAACUCCGUGCCAGCAGCCGCGGUAAUACGGAGGAUCCGAGCGUUAUCCGGAUUUAUUGGGUUUAAAGGGAGCGUAGGUGGACUGGUAAGUCAGUUGUGAAAGUUUGCGGCUCAACCGUAAAAUUGCAGUUGAUACUGUCAGUCUUGAGUACAGUAGAGGUGGGCGGAAUUCGUGGUGUAGCGGUGAAAUGCUUAGAUAUCACGAAGAACUCCGAUUGCGAAGGCAGCUCACUGGACUGCAACUGACACUGAUGCUCGAAAGUGUGGGUAUCAAACAGGAUUAGAUACCCUGGUAGUCCACACAGUAAACGAUGAAUACUCGCUGUUUGCGAUAUACAGUAAGCGGCCAAGCGAAAGCAUUAAGUAUUCCACCUGGGGAGUACGCCGGCAACGGUGAAACUCAAAGGAAUUGACGGGGGCCCGCACAAGCGGAGGAACAUGUGGUUUAAUUCGAUGAUACGCGAGGAACCUUACCCGGGCUUAAAUUGCAGUGGAAUGAUGUGGAAACAUGUCAGUGAGCAAUCACCGCUGUGAAGGUGCUGCAUGGUUGUCGUCAGCUCGUGCCGUGAGGUGUCGGCUUAAGUGCCAUAACGAGCGCAACCCUUAUCUUUAGUUACUAACAGGUUAUGCUGAGGACUCUAGAGAGACUGCCGUCGUAAGAUGUGAGGAAGGUGGGGAUGACGUCAAAUCAGCACGGCCCUUACGUCCGGGGCUACACACGUGUUACAAUGGGGGGGUACAGAAGGCAGCUAGCGGGUGACCGUAUGCUAAUCCCAAAAUCCUCUCUCAGUUCGGAUCGAAGUCUGCAACCCGACUUCGUGAAGCUGGAUUCGCUAGUAAUCGCGCAUCAGCCACGGCGCGGUGAAUACGUUCCCGGGCCUUGUACACACCGCCCGUCAAGCCAUGGGAGCCGGGGGUACCUGAAGUACGUAACCGCAAGGAUCGUCCUAGGGUAAAACUGGUGACUGGGG
RNAcentral lists this ribosomal RNA (1445 nucleotides) under uncultured organism. RNAcentral describes it as "SSU rRNA". It matches the Rfam family "Bacterial small subunit ribosomal RNA". The record is from RNAcentral.